This 440-nucleotide ribosomal RNA is filed under the name uncultured bacterium. Its description in RNAcentral is "partial 16S ribosomal RNA". It matches the Rfam family "Bacterial small subunit ribosomal RNA", at positions 338 to 795 of the family's 1533-position model. The record is from RNAcentral.
CCUACGGGAGGCAGCAGUAGGGAAUAUUGCUCAAUGGGGGAAACCCUGAAGCAGCAACGCCGCGUGGAGGAUGAAGGUUUUCGGAUUGUAAACUCCUUUUGUUAGAGAAGAUAAUGACGGUAUCUAACGAAUAAGCACCGGCUAACUCCGUGCCAGCAGCCGCGGUAAUACGGAGGGUGCAAGCGGUACUCGGAAUCACUGGGCGUAAAGAGAGCGUAGGCGGGAGAGCAAGUCAGAUGUGAAAUCCUAUGGCUUAACCAUAGAACUGCAUUUGAAACUGUUAUUCUAGAGUAUGGGAGAGGUAGGUGGAAUUCUUGGUGUAGGGGUAAAAUCCGUAGAGAUCAAGAGGAAUACUCAUUGCGAAGGCGACCUGCUAGAACAUAACUGACGCUGAUGCGCGAAAGCGUGGGGAGCAAACAGGAUUAGAUACCCCUGUAGUC